CAGUCGCCACGGGAAUACAGAGGGUGCGAGCGUUAAUCGGAUUUACUGGGCGUAAAGCGUGCGUAGGCGGCUAAUUGAGUCGGAUGUGAAAUCCCCGAGCUUAACUUGGGAAUUGCAUUCGAUACUGGUUAGCUAGAGUGUGGGAGAGGAUGGUAGAAUUCCAGGUGUAGCGGUGAAAUGCGUAGAGAUCUGGAGGAAUACCGAUGGCGAAGGCAGCCAUCUGGCCUAACACUGACGCUGAGGUACGAAAGCAUGGGGAGCAAACAGGAUUAGAUACCCCAGUAGUCCCUGUCUCUUAUAC
This 301-nucleotide ribosomal RNA is filed under the name uncultured bacterium. RNAcentral describes it as "partial 16S ribosomal RNA". It matches the Rfam family "Bacterial small subunit ribosomal RNA", at positions 509 to 807 of the family's 1533-position model. The record is from RNAcentral.